This 119-nucleotide ribosomal RNA is filed under the name Brachypodium distachyon (stiff brome). Lineage: Eukaryota; Viridiplantae; Streptophyta; Magnoliopsida; Poales; Poaceae. The record is from RNAcentral.
GGAUGCGAUCAUACCAUCACUAAAGCACCGGAUCCCAUCAGAACUCCGAAGUUAAGCGUGCUUGGGCUAGAGUAGUACUAGGAUGGGUGACCUCCUGGGAAGUCCUCGUGUUUUAUUCU